CUAUAAUGGGAGAACAAGGAAAAGGAGGAGAAGAAGAAGAACAAAGGAAAGCUAACUUCUACUAAUAACCCAUUACUUUCUUGUUUUUCAUUUUUAUUUCUUUUCUUGGAAAAACACAAAAGCUUUCUUUGGUGAUUGAUUUCCCUUCUGAAUCAAAAAAGAAGCAAAAUUUGUCUGUUUUGGGUAUCCGAAAUCAAUUCAUUCCACACCCUUUAUUGCCUAAUUAUAGUUCCUAAACUCAGAAUUUACAACCAGAAUCAAACGGAGCUUCGCUGGAUUCUUUCUUUGUUUGGUUCUGAUAGAGAGAGAUGAGAGCUGGGCUCAGUACGAUUCAGCAAACUCUCACCCCUGAGGCGGCGAGUGUUUUAAACCACUCAAUUGCUGAAGCUAGCCGCCGGAACCAUGGUCAGACUACGCCCCUUCAUGUGGCGGCAACGCUUUUAGCUUCGCCGUCUGGGUUUCUUCGGCAAGCCUGUAUCAAAUCUCACCCCAACUCAUCGCAUCCUCUCCAGUGUAGAGCCUUGGAACUCUGUUUUAGUGUUGCUCUUGAGCGGCUUCCUACGGCACAGAACCUUAGCCCUGGCCAUGACCCACCAAUCUCCAAUGCUUUAAUGGCGGCACUGAAGCGUGCUCAGGCUCAUCAGCGACGGGGAUGCCCUGAGCAGCAGCAACAGCCACUUCUGGCGGUGAAAGUAGAGCUUGAACAGUUAAUUAUAUCAAUUUUAGAUGAUCCGAGUGUUAGUAGAGUCAUGAGGGAAGCUAGUUUUUCCAGCCCAGCUGUUAAGGCCACAAUUGAGCAGUCUCUUAACUCUUCAUCCAAUUCCUCUGCCGCGGCAGCCGCCUCUAAUUCAAACUCAUUUGGAUUCGGGUUUCGCACGCCUGGAGCUGUGCCAGUUCCUGCUCCUGCAACGAAUCGGAAUUUGUAUGUUAAUCCCAGAUUGCAACAGGGGAGUAUAGCGCAAUCUGGGCAGCAGAGGAAUGAGGAAGUUAAGCGGGUUGUUGAUAUUUUGUUAAAGAAUAAGAGGAGGAAUCCUGUUUUGGUUGGCGAAUCUGAGCCUGAGAUGGUUGUAAGGGAGCUAUUGAAAAGAAUAGAGAAUAAAGAAAUAGCAGAUGGGUUGUUAAAGAAUGUGCAGGUGAUUCAUUUGGAAAAGGAUUUUCUAGAUAAAACGAAAAUAGCAGCAAAGAUUAUAGAAUUAGGGGGUUUGAUCGAGACCCGGAUAGCAAAUUUGGAUUGCGGAGGGGUAAUCCUUGAUUUGGGUGAUUUGAAAUGGCUGGUCGAGCAGCAGGUAUACUUUGCAGGUGCUAGUGGACUCCAGCAGCAGCAGCAGAUUGUGUCUGAGGCUGAGCGGGCGGCAGUGGCGGAGAUGGGGAAGCUGUUGGAACGGUUUGGAGAGAGGAGUAGCGGUGGUGGCAGUGGAAGGGUUUGGUUGAUUGGAACUGCUACCUGUGAGACCUAUUUGAGGUGUCAGGUCUAUCAUCCUAGUAUGGAAAAUGAUUGGGAUCUGCAGGCAGUGCCAAUCGCUCCUAGAGCACCUCUUCCAGGAUUGUUUCCCAGGCUUGGAACCAAUGGUAUUCUUAGCAACUCAGUUGAAUCCUUAUCACCUUUGAAGGGCUUUCCAACUAUUACACCUAUUCCACUGAGGCGUCUUGCUGAGAACUUAGAUCCCACUCGAAGAAUGAGUUGUUGCCCUCAAUGCAUGCAAAAUUAUGAGCAAGAGCUAGCAAAAGUUAUACCAAAAGAAUCUGAGAAAUCUUCUUCAGAAUUUAAAUCAGAAGCAACUCAGCCACUACUGCCACAGUGGUUGAAAAAUGCUAAGUCUCAAGAUUGUGACACUAAAACGUUGGAUCAGACUGUGACUAAAGAUCAAGAAUUAAUGUCAAAGCAGAAGAGCCUAGAGUUGCAGAAGAAAUGGCAUGAUACGUGCUUACGUCUUCAUCCUGGUUAUCACCAGCCCAAUGUCAGCUCUGAGAGAAUUACACAACCGGCUCUCUCCAUGACGAGCUUGUUCAAUACAAACCUCCUUCCUCGGCAACCUUUCCAGCCCAAGUUAGGUUUAAAUGGAAACCUUGGUGGAACUCCGCAAUUGAACCCAAAUCUGUUGCCCAGACAAUCACCUGGUCGGGCAAUUACUCCAGCAGGAAGCCCUGUGAGGACAGACCUGGUUCUUGGGCAGCCAAAGAGCAAUGAACAAACUCCUGAGAAAGGCCAUGAAGAUCGCGCUAAAGACUUUUUUGGUUCUGUUGCUUAUGAGCCACAGGUCAAGUUGCAAGAAUUGCAGGCCAACAAGCUUCUAAGUGCAUUAGAUGCGGACUCAUUUAAGAGACUCCUCAAAGGUCUUACUGAAAAGGUGUGGUGGCAGAGAGAAGCAGCAUCUGCAGUAGCUACAACCGUGACACAAUG
RNAcentral lists this unclassified non-coding RNA (2401 nucleotides) under Hevea brasiliensis (rubber tree). Lineage: Eukaryota; Viridiplantae; Streptophyta; Magnoliopsida; Malpighiales; Euphorbiaceae. The record is from RNAcentral.